CGCUAUCUUCGCAGCCCUUUGACUGGAAUUGGACAAGCAGUAAUCUAUAUAAGACCACUACAGAAAAGUAUCCCUUUGGAAAAUAGUUCCUGCACCCUCCAUCAACAAGGGCCACUCACAAAAUGUCUGAGCUGUGACACAGACAUUCCCUUAAAUAAAAUGAAAAACCACAUCAGCAAAUGCACAAGAGUGGAAAUGUGAAGCUGAUGGAACCAGAGCU
Molecule: long non-coding RNA, 220 nt
Organism: Melanotaenia boesemani (Boeseman's rainbowfish)
Lineage: Eukaryota; Metazoa; Chordata; Actinopteri; Atheriniformes; Melanotaeniidae
Exons: 3
Source: RefSeq, a predicted model, not a curated record